GUCCACGCCGUAAACGAUGCUCACUGGUUCUGUGCGAUAUAUUGUACGGGAUUAAGCGAAGUAUUAAGUGAGCCACCUGGGGAGUACGUCGGCAACGAUGAAACUCAAAGGAAUUGACGGGGCCCGCACAAGCGGAGGAACAUGUGGUUUAAUUCGAUGAUACGCGAGGAACCUUACCUGGGUUUAAAUGGGAAAUGUCGUAUUUGGAAACAGAUAUUCUCUUCGGAGCGUUUUUCAAGGUGCUGCAUGGUUGUCGU
Molecule: ribosomal RNA, 257 nt
Filed under: uncultured bacterium
Lineage: Bacteria
Description: partial 16S ribosomal RNA
Rfam family: Bacterial small subunit ribosomal RNA
Source: RNAcentral